CAAGAGAAAGCCAAACCUGCCGUAAGGUAGGGACGAGGAAUCACAGAUUUCUUUGAAAUAGCCGAGUUGCCUUGA
Molecule: non-coding RNA, 75 nt
Submitted as: unclassified sequences
Source: Rfam